RNAcentral lists this ribosomal RNA (750 nucleotides) under Bacillus sp. G550I. RNAcentral describes it as "partial 16S ribosomal RNA". Lineage: Bacteria; Bacillati; Bacillota; Bacilli; Caryophanales; Bacillaceae. The record is from RNAcentral.
GGCGGAGUGCUUAAUGCGUUUGCUGCAGCACUAAAGGGCGGAAACCCUCUAACACUUAGCACUCAUCGUUUACGGCGUGGACUACCAGGGUAUCUAAUCCUGUUCGCUCCCCACGCUUUCGCGCCUCAGUGUCAGUUACAGACCAGAAAGUCGCCUUCGCCACUGGUGUUCCUCCACAUCUCUACGCAUUUCACCGCUACACGUGGAAUUCCACUUUCCUCUUCUGCACUCAAGUUCCCCAGUUUCCAAUGACCCUCCACGGUUGAGCCGUGGGCUUUCACAUCAGACUUAAGAAACCACCUGCGCGCGCUUUACGCCCAAUAAUUCCGGACAACGCUUGCCACCUACGUAUUACCGCGGCUGCUGGCACGUAGUUAGCCGUGGCUUUCUGGUUAGGUACCGUCAAGGUACCGGCAGUUACUCCGGUACUUGUUCUUCCCUAACAACAGAGCUUUACGACCCGAAGCCUUCAUCGCUCACGCGGCGUUGCUCCGUCAGACUUUCGUCCAUUGCGGAAGAUUCCCUACUGCUGCCUCCCGUAGAGGUCUGGGCCGUGUCUCAGUCCCAGUGUGGCCGAUCACCCUCUCAGGUCGGCUACGCAUCGUUGCCUUGGUGAGCCGUUACCUCACCAACUAGCUAAUGCGCCGCGGGCCCAUCUGUAAGUGACAGCCGAAACCGUCUUUCAGCAUUCCCUCAUGAGAGGGAAUGAAUUAUCCGGUAUUAGCCCCGGUUUCCCGGAGUUAUCCCAGU